AAAAAAUAAUAAUAACUAGAUUUGCGAUUGCAAGCAAUAGCGGAUGGCACCCUUCCCCUAUUGCCAGGUGAGCGGCAGCCAUUUUGAAAGUUCCGAUGUCAAAGACCGCAUUUACAGAUGUCUAUUCACAUUGUCGUAAAGUUUCAUCAAUUUUGGAGCAUUUUGAAAUUUUUGAAAUUUCCAUGGUAACGGCGGCCAUUUUGGAAAUUCCAAAUUCAAAAGUCAAGUCUACAUUAGCUAAGCAACAUUUGUUAUAAGUUUCAAUAAAUUUGAAGCAUUUUGAAGUUUUUCGUAUUUUUGCUGUUUCCAUGGUAACGGCGGCCAUUUUGAAUAUUCCAAAGUCAAACCUGCUGCUGCAAUUUGUUCUCACCAUAAUCAUAUAUACCAUCAUAUACCAUUUAAUGUCUCUAGAAUAAAUUUAACAUUGAUGUUCUGGAAUGUUCUGUGAAAAUUCAAAGUUUUGACCUUUUUGCAUUGUUUCCAUGGUAACAACAGAUAUUUUGGAAAUUCCAACGCCAAAUUCCACAUCUUCCAAUGUUGCUCAUCGUUACUGUGAAGUUUCAUUAAGUUUGGAACAUUUUGAUAUUUUUGAAAUUUUUGGAGUAGUUUCCAUGGCAACAUAGUAGUUCCAAUGAGUGCCAAAAUCAUCCAACACCUGUAUAUAGUGGGCACCUACAUUGUAUUAAAAUAUAAUGAUUCUGAGUUAAAGCAUAUCCAAACAGUUCACCAAAACAAAAAACUGGAUUUUUUCACAUUUGUUCCGUUUCCAUGGUAACGGCAGCCAUCUUGAAAGUGCCAACCCCAAAAAGCAAAUCUUCACAUGGUGGUUAACAUUAUGGUAUAGUUCCAUCUUCUUGGGUCCAUUCACAUUAGAGUUCCAGACUGGACAAAAAUGUGUGGAAGAAAAAUAAUAAUAAAAAUAAAGAAAACAAAAAGAAACGUAGAAUAACAAUAUGUCACCCCAACUCCGUUGAGGGUGCCAUAAUAAUAAUAGAGAAAAAGAAACAGAGGAAAAGCAAUAUGUCACCCGACAUUGUCGAUCGGGUGACAUAACUAGAUUUGCCAUUGCAAGCAAUAGCGGAUGGCACCCUUUCCCUAUUGCCAGGUCAGCG
Molecule: long non-coding RNA, 1112 nt
Filed under: Mytilus galloprovincialis (Mediterranean mussel)
Lineage: Eukaryota; Metazoa; Mollusca; Bivalvia; Mytilida; Mytilidae
Source: RNAcentral